AUUUUCUUUCUUCUUAAUUUUUUAAUUUAUAAGGGUUUUCUCCUAGAUCUGGUUGUUUAAUUAAGUGCUUGAUUUGUGCUUAAUUUGAAUAUGUUCUUUCUUUUAUGUUUUAAAUGAAUUAUUCCCCUUGAAAAUUGAAAGUUGUCUCCAUUUAAAUUAGGGUUCACUUUUAAAUCCAGGUAAAUUUACGGUUAUAAGAAAUGGCAUAUCUGAUUAAAUGUGUGGAUUUCAUUAUAAGAAUUUUUUAUUCAGUCGAUUCGAUUGAAAUGGAAAUUGAGAAGUAAAUUCCUAAAGAGAAGUUGAAAAGCAGUAAGAAAUUAUGGGUCAAAGGUUUUGUGUUUCAACUAGCAAAUCUAAAAUGAAUACUGUUUGGUUUAAUUAUCAUUUGUUUUUUUUUUUUUCUGUAAAUUCUGAUUUUUUUUCUUUAAGUUAUGAAUUUCUAGAUUUUUUCUUAUUUGUCUUAAUUUAAAUUUUCUCUAAGCUCUAAAUUAUGAAUGCUUGAUAUAUAUUAUUGGGACAAUUGAAAUUUGGAAUGAAUAUUGAUGGGUUAAAUUGUCAAUCAUGCUUCCUCAAUGCGGUUUUUAAUUUCGGAGUUCUACCGAUGACAUAACUAAUUAAAAUCCUCUUAUAAGGAUGUAGCAAACAUAUAUCUAGUGUGGUGGUGAUUUUCACUAUGCAGAGUAGAUUAUAUUGGAGGUGAAAGGAUGGUUGUAUGUCAGACCAUGGUCCUUGUGGCCUGGUGGGAAACUUUUCCCCUAUGGUUAUAGUGGCUUUGGGGAGUGCUAGACAGGUGGUGGUCAUGACUAGGUGGGAUUUGAGUAAAAGAAGAUAGAUUCAAUGGAUCAGUUGCUCAAUGCAUUAGUUUUUUGGAGAAGGGGUGCUGUGACGGUGCUGAGAACAAGGAGCCAACAACUUUGUGAUUACAUUUCCUAGAUCUUAUCAUGGAGGUUUCAAUCUUGGCUUGAACUGUGCUGAGGCUGUUAAUUUUGUUCCUGCUGAUUGGUUACCUCAUGGAGGGUUUGGAUCAGAACUGUAUCAUAAGCCUACUGUACUUUCUCAUGAUGAGCUGCUUUGCGUGGCUGUUAAGAUUGGUUGUGAUGCCAAAGUAGCACUGUACAUGAAUAAGGAGGUAUCGAGGGUCUUUACAAAAGAGAAGAAUGGGAGGUAGCAGCUUUGGAAAAAGGGCCUUGUCAAAACAACAUCUGUUAUGUCACCCCGAAGACAUCCUGAGUAUGUUGGCACUAAGAUCCCACUUUCAUAAUAUGCCAGCAGUAUUUGUAUCUUUCAACUGUUGUCUGUUGCUGUAGACCAACCACUUUUGUGUGUUUAAAGCACUGGGAGCGCCUUUGUGAAUGUAAUCCAAGGAGACGCCGCCUCCGAUAUCGCCACUCUCUUGCGGGAUUAAACAAACUGUUAUUCAUAACAAAGAAUGUAAUAUCAUAACUAAUUUCUUAGAAACAUUGUUGUGCUAGCUAGUUUUGCUCUUGUAUGAAUAUUUGUAUACAAUAAAAUGAGUUUUUUUAAAAAAAAAUUAUUUAAUUAUUUUUGAAUUUUUUGUAGCACAAUGAUAUUUAUAAGAUGUCUUCAACCACCUGCCCUAAUA
Molecule: long non-coding RNA, 1603 nt
Organism: Chenopodium quinoa (quinoa)
Lineage: Eukaryota; Viridiplantae; Streptophyta; Magnoliopsida; Caryophyllales; Amaranthaceae
Exons: 7
Source: RefSeq, a predicted model, not a curated record